This 1831-nucleotide ribosomal RNA is filed under the name Campylobacter jejuni. RNAcentral describes it as "partial 23S ribosomal RNA". It matches the Rfam family "Bacterial large subunit ribosomal RNA", at positions 1 to 1836 of the family's 2925-position model. The record is from RNAcentral. Lineage: Bacteria; Pseudomonadati; Campylobacterota; Epsilonproteobacteria; Campylobacterales; Campylobacteraceae.
AGGUAAGCUACUAAGAGCGAAUGGUGGAUGCCUUGACUGGUAAAGGCGAUGAAGGACGUACUAGACUGCGAUAAGCUACGGGGAGCUGUCAAGAAGCUUUGAUCCGUAGAUUUCCGAAUGGGGCAACCCAAUGUAUAGAGAUAUACAUUACCUAUAUAGGAGCGAACGAGGGGAAUUGAAACAUCUUAGUACCCUCAGGAAAAGAAAUCAAUAGAGAUUGCGUCAGUAGCGGCGAGCGAAAGCGCAAGAGGGCAAACCCAGUGCUUGCACUGGGGGUUGUAGGACUGCAAUGUGCAAGAGGUAAGUUUAGCAGAACAUUCUGGAAAGUAUAACCAUAGAGGGUGAUAGUCCCGUAUGCGAAAAACAAACCUUAGCUAGCAGUAUCCUGAGUAGGGCGGGACACGAGGAAUCCUGUCUGAAUCCGGGUCGACCACGAUCCAACCCUAAAUACUAAUACCAGAUCGAUAGUGCACAAGUACCGUGAGGGAAAGGUGAAAAGAACUGAGGUGAUCAGAGUGAAAUAGAACCUGAAACCAUUUGCUUACAAUCAUUCAGAGCCCUAUGUAGUAAUACAGGGUGAUGGACUGCCUUUUGCAUAAUGAGCCUGCGAGUUGUGGUGUCUGGCAAGGUUAAGCAAACGCGAAGCCGUAGCGAAAGCGAGUCUGAAUAGGGCGCUUAGUCAGAUGCUGCAGACCCGAAACGAAGUGAUCUAUCCAUGAGCAAGUUGAAGCUAGUGUAAGAACUAGUGGAGGACUGAACCCAUAGGCGUUGAAAAGCCCCGGGAUGACUUGUGGAUAGGGGUGAAAGGCCAAUCAAACUUCGUGAUAGCUGGUUCUCUCCGAAAUAUAUUUAGGUAUAGCGUUGUGUCGUAAUAUAAGGGGGUAGAGCACUGAAUGGGCUAGGGCAUACACCAAUGUACCAAACCCUAUCAAACUCCGAAUACCUUAUAUGUAAUCACAGCAGUCAGGCGGCGAGUGAUAAAAUCCGUCGUCAAGAGGGAAACAACCCAGACUACCAGCUAAGGUCCCUAAAUCUUACUUAAGUGGAAAACGAUGUGAAGUUACUUAAACAACCAGGAGGUUGGCUUAGAAGCAGCCAUCCUUUAAAGAAAGCGUAAUAGCUCACUGGUCUAGUGAUUUUGCGCGGAAAAUAUAACGGGGCUAAAGUAAGUACCGAAGCUGUAGACUUAGUUUACUAAGUGGUAGGAGAGCGUUCUAUUUGCGUCGAAGGUAUACCGGUAAGGAGUGCUGGAGCGAAUAGAAGUGAGCAUGCAGGCAUGAGUAGCGAUAAUUAAUGUGAGAAUCAUUAACGCCGUAAACCCAAGGUUUCCUACGCGAUGCUCGUCAUCGUAGGGUUAGUCGGGUCCUAAGUCGAGUCCGAAAGGGGUAGACGAUGGCAAAUUGGUUAAUAUUCCAAUACCAACAUUAGUGUGCGAUGGAAGGACGCUUAGGGCUAAGGGGGCUAGCGGAUGGAAGUGCUAGUCUAAGGUCGUAGGAGGUUGUACAGGCAAAUCCGUAUAACAAUACUCCGAGAACUGAAAGGCUUUUUGAAGUCUUCGGAUGGAUAGAAGAACCCCUGAUGCCGUCGAGCCAAGAAAAGUUUCUAAGUUUAGCUAAUGUUGCCCGUACCGUAAACCGACACAGGUGGGUGGGAUGAGUAUUCUAAGGCGCGUGGAAGAACUCUCUUUAAGGAACUCUGCAAAAUAGCACCGUAUCUUCGGUAUAAGGUGUGGUUAGCUUUGUAUUAGGAUUUACUCCGAAAGCAAGGAAACUUACAACAAAGAGUCCCUCCCGACUGUUUACCAAAAACACAGCACUCUGCUAACUCGUAA